Molecule: ribosomal RNA, 158 nt
Filed under: Ascomycota sp.
Lineage: Eukaryota; Fungi; Ascomycota
Description: 5.8S ribosomal RNA
Rfam family: 5.8S ribosomal RNA
About the family: 5.8S ribosomal RNA (5.8S rRNA) is a component of the large subunit of the eukaryotic ribosome.
Source: RNAcentral
CAACCUACAACGAUGGAUCUCUUGGCUCCGGCAUCGAUGAAGAACGCAGCGAAAUGCGAGACGUAAUGCGAAUUGCAGAUCUACGCGAGUCAUCAAAUCUUUGAACGCAUAUUGCGCCCUCUGGCAUUCCGGAGGGCACGCCCGUCCGAGCGUCAUUU